GGGACAGUAGCUCAAUAGGUUAGAGCAGCGGACUCAUAAUCCGUAGGUCGCGGGUUCGAACCCCGCCUGUCCCACC
RNAcentral lists this transfer RNA (76 nucleotides) under Kineosporia succinea. RNAcentral's name for it is "tRNA-Met". It matches the Rfam family "tRNA". From Rfam's summary of the family: Transfer RNA (tRNA) molecules are approximately 80 nucleotides in length. Their secondary structure includes four short double-helical elements and three loops (D, anti-codon, and T loops). Further hydrogen bonds mediate the characteristic L-shaped molecular structure. tRNAs have two regions of fundamental functional importance: the anti-codon, which is responsible for specific mRNA codon recognition, and the 3' end, to which the tRNAs corresponding amino acid is attached (by aminoacyl-tRNA synthetases). tRNAs cope with the degeneracy of the genetic code in two manners: having more than one tRNA (with a specific anti-codon) for a particular amino acid; and 'wobble' base-pairing, i.e. permitting non-standard base-pairing at the 3rd anti-codon position. Lineage: Bacteria; Bacillati; Actinomycetota; Actinomycetes; Kineosporiales; Kineosporiaceae. The record is from RNAcentral. RNAcentral also lists the same sequence under 1 other name.